Molecule: long non-coding RNA, 480 nt
Filed under: Struthio camelus australis
Lineage: Eukaryota; Metazoa; Chordata; Aves; Struthioniformes; Struthionidae
Description: lncRNA (ENSSCUG00000016333.1)
Source: RNAcentral
CAAAAACACAGUAUUAAGAAGUCUGAAAAGUUGCCUGGGAAGACAACCAUGCCAAUGAACUAGCAAGAUAAAUUUACAAACAUGGAGAUAUUAUUGUAUGCUGUAAUGAAUAUGGCAAAAUCGUAAUUUUCUAAAUCAUGACUUCCCAGCCAAGUCAUUUUUUAUUUAUCAUUUCUAUUAUUUUUAUUUCUAGACUUACCAUUUGUUUUUGAAAAAUGACGACCUGUUCCUUACUUUAAUUCAUCACAAUCUCCAGUAUCCAAUGAAGGGCAUUAGCAUCAUCAGAUAGAUUCUGGUGAAACUGAAGUUAUGUAAGUUGCUGAUGAGCCGGAUAAUCACAGGCUAGAAGUAUAUGCUAUAAAAACAGUCCUCCUCCUUUGCAUCAACCAGCUGUUGGUGAUCCUGAGAAAGGGGAAGCUGUCCACUAAAAUUUUUACAGGUGUUGUUUUGGAAAGCGUGAAGUUAGAGACCCUUCCUUAA